ACCUCUUUAUAUUUAUAUUUAUAUCUUAAAAAUUGAAAAUCAUAAGAGACCCUUCAUUCUCCAAGCCUACUCUUCCUCUACCUCCUUAAUCCCUUUACUAGCGCCCAUAAUUUUCUUCUUCCUCAUCGGUCCCUCAUCACUACUCAUCAGUUCCUUUAUUCAUCUCGUCUCUCCCGUCAAAUCACUCUCCAUUUUGGUGACUUUGUGUUCUCACCAUUUGUUGCUCAAGGAGUCUCGAUUUUGUAUAUCUAUCGUAUAUCGUCUUUCUUUCUUCCUCACAUGGCGACAAUGGAGAUUUAAAGGUGGUUUCUUUUUUGUCAGUUUCGUUGCAUGCCCCUAAAAUCACAAGUCUUGAUAUGAAAAGGUGAUUGCUCCUUAGCGCUUGUCUUUCCUUUGCAUGUUUUGAUCUAGAGAUGUCAUUGUGUAGUUGCAAAUCUCAUUGCUAUUUUGAUUUUUUUCUUGAAAAUAUAAGAUUUAUUGUUGAUUAAAUUGAUUUGGAUCAUUUGGUAUUGAAUCUGCACAUUAGUCUUGC
Long non-coding RNA from Manihot esculenta (cassava), 532 nucleotides. RefSeq lists it as uncharacterized. The transcript has 2 exons. NCBI's taxonomy places the organism in Eukaryota, Viridiplantae, Streptophyta, Magnoliopsida, Malpighiales, Euphorbiaceae. The record is from RefSeq and is a predicted model, not a curated record.